AUUGAACGCUGGCGGUAGGCCUAACACAUGCAAGUCGAGCGGAUGACGGGAGCUUGCUCCUUGAUCAGCGGCGGACAGGUGAGUAAUGCCUAGGAAUCUGCCUGGUAGUGGGGGACAACGUUUCGAAAGGAACGCUAAUACCGCAUACGUCCUACGGGAGAAAGCAGGGGACCUUCGGGCCUUGCGCUAUCAGAUGAGCCUAGGUCGGAUUAGCUAGUUGGUGGGGUAAUGGCUCACCAAGGCGACGAUCCGUAACUGGUCUGAGAGGAUGAUCAGUCACACUGGAACUGAGACACGGUCCAGACUCCUACGGGAGGCAGCAGUGGGGAAUAUUGGACAAUGGGCGAAAGCCUGAUCCAGCCAUGCCGCGUGUGUGAAGAAGGUCUUCGGAUUGUAAAGCACUUUAAGUUGGGAGGAAGGGCAGUAAGCUAAUACCUUGCUGUUUUGACGUUACCGACAGAAUAAGCACCGGCUAACUCUGUGCCAGCAGCCGCGGUAA
RNAcentral lists this ribosomal RNA (499 nucleotides) under uncultured bacterium. RNAcentral describes it as "partial 16S ribosomal RNA". It matches the Rfam family "Bacterial small subunit ribosomal RNA", at positions 30 to 523 of the family's 1533-position model. The record is from RNAcentral.